Molecule: ribosomal RNA, 225 nt
Filed under: uncultured bacterium
Lineage: Bacteria
Description: partial 16S ribosomal RNA
Rfam family: Bacterial small subunit ribosomal RNA
Source: RNAcentral
GAUCCUGGCUCAGGAUGAACGCUAGCGGCAGGCUUAACACAUGCAAGUCGAGGGGCAGCGCGGAGUUAGCAAUACUCUGGCGGCGACCGGCGGAAGGGUGCGUAACACGUGAGCGACUUGCCCGUCACAGGGAGAUAACCGCUGGGAAACGGCGACUAAUAUCCCAUAUGAUGGCGAUCUGCAUGGAUUGUCAUUGAAAGAUUCAUCGGUGACGGAUAGGCUCGG